AGACCCCGCCUUCGGGCGGGUGACAGUGGCGAAAGGGCGAGGAAUACGCUCCUAAUGUACCCCGAGGUGGGGGAUAGGUCAGGGAAACUUGGCGUAAUACCCCAUGUGCUCUGCGGAGGAAAGGUUUCGGCCGCCUCGGGAGCAGGGAGCGUCCUAUCAGGUAGUUGGUGAGGUAACGGCUCACCAAGCCGAAGACGGGUAGCGGGUGUGAGAGCAUGACCCGCCGCAUCGGGACUGAGACACUGCCCGGACUCCUACGGGAGGCUGCAGCGACGAAUCUCCCGCAAUGCGCGAAAGCGUGACGGAGCAAUGCCGCGUGCGGGAUGAAGCGGCUCCGCCGUGUAAACCGCUGUCAGGGGAUAGAAACACUGAUCAUCCCCAAAGGAAGGGCCGGCUAACCUCGUGCCAGCAGCCGCGGUAAUACGAGGGGCCCGAGCGUUAUUCGGAAUCACUGGGCUUAAAGGGUGCGUAGGCGGACACGAAAGCGUCCCGUGAAAUCCCCCGGCUCAACCGGGGAACUGCGGGGCGAACUGCGUGUCUUGAGGCAGGUAGGGGCCGUCGGAACGAUCGGUGGAGCGGUGAAAUGCAUAGAUAUCGAUCGGAACGCCGAAGGAGAAGUCGGGCGGCUGGGCCUGUGCUGACGCUGAGGCACGAAAGCGUGGGGAGCGAACAGGAUUAGAUACCCUGGUAGUCCACGCCCUAAACGAUGCGCACUAGACCGGGGCGGUUUCGAAGCCGUCUCGGUCGCAGAGAAAUCAUGAAGUGCGCCGCCUGGGGAGUACGGUCGCAAGGCUAAAACUCAAAGGAAUUGACGGGGCUC
Molecule: ribosomal RNA, 820 nt
Filed under: uncultured bacterium
Lineage: Bacteria
Description: bacterial SSU rRNA
Rfam family: Bacterial small subunit ribosomal RNA
Source: RNAcentral